UCCCGCUUUUUUAUUUAAAAUUUUCCCGCAGAAGGCGCCCCUUUUUUAAAGCUGGGGGAAGGGACGCCCCCAAGGGGAAGAUAAGAGGCGGAAUAAGGUUCUCUCCCCCAUUGGGAAAAGCCCGCCCAAUUUCUUGGGGGGGGGGGUUGGGAAUUUUGCCAUGGGGGGAUUUUUGAUCACCACUCCCCGGAAGGAAAAGGUUUAGGAUUAAACUUCGUCUUAAGGCAAAAAAAGCCGUCCUGAAGAGGAGCUCGGCUAACUUCGUCCAGCAGCGGGUUAAUCGUAGGAGGGAGCUUUUCCCGAUUUCCGGGUUAAAGGGAGCUUGGCGGGAUCCAAGUCAGAUGGGAAACUAUGGGCUUACCCCAUAAACUGCAUUGAAACUGUGGUCUUGAGGAAGGAGAGGUAAGCGGAAUCCCUAGUGUAGCGUGAAAGGCGUAGAUUUUAGGAGGACAUUCGGUGUCGAAGGCGGCUUAUUGGGCUUUAACUGACGCUGAGGCUCGAAGCGUGGGGAGCAAACAGGAUUAGAUCCCCUGGUAGUCCACGCCGUAAACGAUGAUUCCUAGGUGUGGGGGGACUGACCCCUUCCGUGCCGCAGCAAACGCAAUAAGUAAUCCACCUGGGGAGUACGACCGCAAGGUUGAAACUCAAAGGAAUUGACGGGGGCCCGCACAAGCAGUGGAGUAUGUGGAUUAAUUCGAAGCAACGCGAAGAACCUUACCAGGUCUUGACAUCGUAUGCAUAGCUCAGAGAUGAGUGAAGUCUCUUCGGAGACAUAUAGACAGGUGGUGCAUGGUUGUCGUCAGCUCGUGUCGUGAGAUGUUGGGUUAAGUCCCGCAACGAGCGCAACCCUUACUGUUAGUUGCUACGCAAGAGCACUCUAGCAGGACUGCCGUUGACUAAACGGAGGAAGGUGGGGAUGACGUCAAAUCAUCAUGCCCCUUAUGACCUGGGCCUCACACGUACUACAAUGGCUGUUAACAGAGGGAUGCAAAGCCGCGAGGUGGAGCGAACCCCUAAAAGCAGUCUUAGUUCGGAUUGUAGGCUGCAACCCGCCUACAUGAAGUCGGAAUUGCUAGUAAUCGCAGAUCAGCAUGCUGCGGUGAAUACGUUCCCGGGCCUUGUACACACCGCCCGUCACGCCAUGGGAGUCGGUAACACCCGAAGCCUGUAGUCUAACCGCAAGGAGGAAGGAGCCGAAGGUGGGAUUGAUGGCUGGGGUGAA
This 1222-nucleotide ribosomal RNA is filed under the name uncultured bacterium. RNAcentral describes it as "partial 16S ribosomal RNA". It matches the Rfam family "Bacterial small subunit ribosomal RNA", at positions 188 to 1484 of the family's 1533-position model. The record is from RNAcentral.